GACGAACGCUGGCGGCGUGCUUAACACAUGCAAGUCGAACGGAAAGGCCCUGCUUUUGUGGGGUGCUCGAGUGGCGAACGGGUGAGUAAAACGUGAGUAACCUGCCCUUGACUUUGGGAUAACUUCAGGAAACUGGGGCUCAUACCGGGUAGGAGCUCCUGCUGCAUGGUGGUGGUUGGAAAGUUUCGGCGGUUGGGGAUGGACUAGCGGCUUAUCAGCUUGUUGGUGGGGUAGUGGAUUACCAAGGUUUUGACGGGUAGCCCGCCUGAGAGGGUGAGCGGCCACAUUGGGACUGAGAUGAGGCCCAGACUGCUACGGGAGGCAGCAGUGGGGAAGAUUGCACAAGGGGCGGAAGCCUGAUGCAGCAACGCCGCGUGCGGGAUGACGGCCUUCGGGUUGUAAACCGCUUUCGCCUGUGACGAAGCGUGAGUGACGGUAAUGGGUAAAGAAGCACCGGCUAACUACGUG
This 468-nucleotide ribosomal RNA is filed under the name uncultured bacterium. RNAcentral describes it as "partial 16S ribosomal RNA". It matches the Rfam family "Bacterial small subunit ribosomal RNA", at positions 28 to 507 of the family's 1533-position model. The record is from RNAcentral.